This 305-nucleotide ribosomal RNA is filed under the name uncultured bacterium. RNAcentral describes it as "bacterial SSU rRNA". It matches the Rfam family "Bacterial small subunit ribosomal RNA", at positions 333 to 636 of the family's 1533-position model. The record is from RNAcentral.
UUAAACCUACGGGGGGCAGCAGUGAGGAAUAUUGGUCAAUGGUCGGGAGACUGAACCAGCCAAGCCGCGUGAGGGAGGAAGGUACAGAGUAUCGUAAACCUCUUUUGUCAGGGAACAAAGACUGGGACGCGUCCCCGGAUGAGUGUGCCUGAAGAAAAAGCAUCGGCUAACUCCGUGCCAGCAGCCGCGGUAAUACGGAGGAUGCGAGCGUUAUCCGGAUUUAUUGGGUUUAAAGGGUGCGCAGGCGGUCUGUUAAGUCAGCGGUCAAAGCCCGGGGCUCAACCCCGGCCCGCCGUUGAAACUGG